GUGUAGUGGAUGGGUCCAAGUGCAAGGUCAGCUGACCGAGUUAUAAAUACCGUGGGGAAUAUGAGAGCAUGUUGUCGUUGAAAACCAGCCUGAGGUGCCGCGAGGAGAUGAGAAAAGGCACAUCUGAAGAAUGCAUGGCAUAAAAACAACGCUAAAUGGGAUUUUGCCAUGCCGACCCUGGAACAAAUUUUUGGCCAUUCCUCUCUCCUUCUCCCCACCCCCUCUCGUGAACUAGGCUGACCCUGGGGCCUAGGCGCAGACGGAUGUCAAUGUGCCUGUCCCAAAACAUGACCCAGGCACAUGGUUGCCUGACAGGGAUCAAAGGUCACGUCAGUAAAAUAUGACUCUAAAACUAGCUCAGUCUUCACAGACGAGUAGCCUGAGGGGGAAGAGGAAAGUACCUUUUUUUUUUACCAGGAGCAUGCACUUGAAUUUGGGGAGCAGUGUGCAUAAGAGAAAAAAAUAUUGCACUAUCUAACUGUGUUUGAUUGUUGUUUUACAUAUGACUAAAUUGCCACAGAAAAGAAAAGAAAAAUUAAAGCUUGUUUGUGAUAGAAAUGUAUAUGUAUAAAUAAGACUCAUUUAUUUAUAGAACAAAGUUCAGUGUAAAUUUUGAGCAGCUGUUGAUGAAGUAUACUCUGCACAUAUCCCAUGAAACAGACUAUGUGCAUGUGAGCUAAACAUAGUGAACUCUGAACUGCUUUCAUACAGUCUGUGUGGGCUUUACUGAGUAGUAUAUACUUAAACUUCAGGUGGUAUGCAGUCUUUGCGUGAUAAUCACUGAACUUCAGUUGACCCCAAUGCAUCAAAUGUACCGUGAUGUCAAACUGCCAAUAAUGUGUUGUCCUGCACAGAAGAGGUGGGUCAGCUUUUUUCAGCAUGAGAUGAUAUUUUAAGAUAAGUGUAAAUAAUCUGGUGUGUGUGGUUGUCUUAAAUCUUCUUAGAGUUCAAUUUAGAAAAAAAGUGUGAAUGACCUGACAUGAAACACAACACAAGACACUUACAGCUGAGUCAGUUUUGAAGCAAACAUACCAAACCUUCCCUAAAUUGUAAAUUGAUACAUUUUGAGGAUUUAUUUGAAUAUUUAACAUCAAUUUUAGAAAAAAUUAUAGCAGUCAUUUUUACUACAAUCUGACACUGGAUAAUCCAAAACCAUUUUGAUUGAUUAAUCAAGAAAAUUCACAUUGAACAAUAAUUAAAAUAAUUGUUAGUUACUGUCCUAAAACACUGUAAAACUGCCUUAAACAUUAUGAACUAUCAUGUCAGUGACAGUUCCAUGGCACAAUGUCAGACUGCUCAUUAAACAUGAUGACACUUCGGUUUUUUUGGUUAUGCUACCAGUCUAGUAUGAAUGUGAGCUUAGCAGCAUUGUGACAUGCAUAUACUUCUGAAUGGUAAAUCCCCUGUGGGCAAAAUUAAAACAUGGUUAUUUCAGAGCACAUUUUGUUUGCAUGUCUUCCGAUGUGGCGUGUUUGGGUUGAAGAUGAGUUUCAUAUUACAGUAAAGAAAAGUACAGUUUGCUUCUUCAACAUCAAA
Micropterus dolomieu (smallmouth bass) is the source of this 1536-nucleotide long non-coding RNA. RefSeq lists it as uncharacterized. Lineage: Eukaryota; Metazoa; Chordata; Actinopteri; Centrarchiformes; Centrarchidae. The transcript is spliced from 2 exons. The record is from RefSeq and is a predicted model, not a curated record.